UUUAAAAACAUCGAUGUAAUCGACGUUGGCAUCGAUGUUUCUCCACCUCUACUGCUCACUUGGUCAACUUUUUAACCCGAUGCCUAAAACGACAGAAUGCUGCGCCAGAACCUGUUGGAUCAGCUCAAGCACUUCAUAGAGACGGUGAGCAAUGGCCACAGUUGUCCCCAGCUGCUGACCAGCCCCAAUCUCAUCAAGCUCGCGCUGGGAUUUCUGGAGGAGCUGCCCGCCACGCGGGACAUAGUGUUCGAAUACUUUGCAUUGCUGGCCGAGAUCAGUGUGCAGCUGUAUGUGUCGCCGGAGAUGGCGGACGCCAGGACCGGAAUGCCGGUGUCCCAGGUGAAGCAGGCAGGGAAUCGCCAGCAGCAGCUGCGCGCUCCGGAGUACGAGAGCUUCAAUAUGGUGAAGACGGCGCUGCAGAGCUUGGUGUGGAAGGGUCCGCCGGCGUGGUCGCCCCUGAUCGCCAACUGGAGCCUGGAGCUGGUGGCCAAGCUGUCCGAUAAGUACACCCAACGCCGGAUGACCAUUACGGCCAGCUGCAACUACUGGCUGGAAUGCAGCGCCAUGCACGGCCUGAUGACCCUCAUAAACAGCUGCUUCCGCAAGCUGACCCAGCCAGAGGAGGAGGCCUGCGUGGAGAUCAUGCUGAACGCCUUCCACCGCUUCCCCAUGACCUUCGACUGGAUCGUGGCCAGGUUGGGCGGCUGCUUUCCCUACAAGAUCAUCAUGCAGAUCCUGCAGUGCGGCAUCAAGCGAUUUGUCGACGACUACCGCUGCCACCUGGACUCGGAGGCGGGCAUCCUCGACUACAUGACCUCGUGCCACGAACAGCAGUUGAGGGCCGCCUUCCGCGAGAUGCUCAGGGAGGGAUUCGCGCCCAAGAAGCCGCUGGACGUGGCCGUCGUUCCCUUUUUGCUGAUCACCACCAACUACUCGGACACGAUCCUGCAGAGCUUGGUCAAUGUGCUGGUGGAAAUAUAUACCGAGGACAUGUGCGAGGUGAUUGUACAGAAGUCGCCGCUCUGGCUGAGCAACAAGAUGUUCGCCGGCAUGCAGCCCACGCUGAACAACGCCGUGCUCCGGCUGAACGAGCACGGAGCCACGCUGCUUCUAACGGCGGCCAGGAUGGCCGAGAAGUAUGUCUGGUGUCAGGACUUCCUGGACAACUCCAUGCAGGAGCUGGAACAGUGGGUGCUCAACCAGAGAAAUUUUCCGCUCCUGGCAGAUUUAGCCUAUGAGGAAACGAAGUACAUGCUGUGGAAAAGCUGCCUCAGCACUAAUCUCUUUGAGCAGCAAACGGCGGUGCGAUUGCUGCUGGUUGUGUCCUCCCAGCAUCCACACAUUUACUACCAGACCAUAUCUCAACUUCUGAAAAAGUCGUACGCUCAAAAUCCAAAUGGAAUUGGCGCCCUCAUUCGUCUGCUGGGUGGCCAAAGCGGAAUGGUAAACUUUCCGGGAUUCACGCCUGGCUUUAAAAUGGUCCUGGAGGACAUCACGCUGCACGUUCAGGUUAACAAUCGCUUGCCAGAGCCGCCAGGCACGCCCUCAGAAGCGCUCAACACUUUCUCCAACCUCAACAUACUGGCCAGAAUGCACAAGAGUAAAAAUGUAGCUCCAUAUAUCAAAGCACAACAUUUAAACCAAGCCCUCAACGAGUGUCUGCCAAAAAUAAUCCAAAUCUUCGACUGCACCGUGAACAAGUUGGUUCUUCGGAUGGAUAGAGAUGCUGCUGAGCGCAGUGCGGAGAAAUUUAGAGCGCAGCAAUGCAACAAUAAUAACAACAACAACUACAACAACGAUAACAACGACAUGUGCAAUGGCAAGGAAUACGGAAAACGACCUAAACUGGAGCCGGAUGAGGAAAAGGUGGAGGACGAGGACGUCACGCGAAUGCGUUUGGCCCACCUAAUAGUCGAUCUGUUAAACAACAUAGAUGCCGGCAGCCGCAGCAAUGUCUUGCGCACUCCACAGGUCCUGAAACUGGCCGUGCUUAGCGUCAAAUACUUCUUUGUGGGCCUAACAGAGCAGACUGUGAUUCGUCGAGCGGCGGCCUCGCAUCGAUCAUUCACCCUGCUGCAGCGGCAGUGCUCCGCCCGAAAGAUAGCGAGAACUGUGUGCCUGCGCGAACUGGUGGAAGGCGCCCUCUUCUACCAUGGCCAUCUGCUGGGCCAGCUGGAGGAAUAUGAACUGGAUGAAUUGCAAAUCCCGGAGCACGAGCUACUCAUCCUGCAGAACCUGCACACCAGCUCUGGCGCCAACUCGAAUCGCUCCGUACUGCAUUCCGGAAUUAUUGGGCGGGGUCUGCGACCAGUGCUGCCCACCAACGACAGAAACUGCGAUGCAGAGAAGCAGGCGCUGUAUUUGAAGGCAUUGAAUGCCUGCUGCGCCGAUCUGGAGAAACCGAACAACGUGGAGGGCUACUCGCUGGUCUCGCUGCUGCUGGUCGAGCUGGUCUCCACGGACGUCAUGUACAACGGCCUGCCCUUUCCGGACGAGGAGUUCACCAGGGUCACCAUGGAGCGGGACAUGCAGAUCAGGAGAGCGUUUAUCACCUCACCGGUGCUGUGGGCGGUUUUGGGACUGAUUGCCGGUCAUAGGCCGGCACUUUGCUACUCCUCCGUGCUUCUGCGUGCACUCUGCGCCACCUGUUUGCAUCACUGGCGGGGAAAGAAUGUUAAUAGAUUCCAGCCCACGGCUGCCAACGACGAGCUGAUGCUCUGUACCAAGAAAAUGCUACAACUGCUGGCUAUGAGCCAACUGAUUCCGCCACCACUUACCAAUCUGCAUCUCAUCAUCGAGCACUUUGAAUCGGCUGAGAUAGCCCUUCUGCUGCGCGAGUGCAUCUGGAACUACCUUAAGGACCACGUGCCCUCGCCGGCGCUCUUCCACGUGGACAACAACGGGCUGCACUGGCGCAACACGAACACCCAGGUGGCCAAGGUGCCGCCGCAGUAUGUGGACACGCUGCGCCACCUGAUGCAGCGGAAACUGGCCACCUUGGGGCCCCACUACCACCAGAUGUUCAUCAUGGGCGAGCUGAUGGAGGCGAACUCCGAGCCGGAUCCCACGGCCCGGCUGCAGAUCGUGGAACUAGAUUAAGCCUUCUUAGUUAGCUAGCCUAAUGUUGUGUGCGCAUGAACGUGUGUGGAUGGAAUGCAAUGGAGAAUCGGAAUUGUAGCGUGUGUGGAGCCUUGCAAAUACUGACCAGCAGUUAUUGUACCGAUGGCUUCUGGAAAUCGCAUCAUCUGUCUGUUUGUGUCUAGUUUAGAAUAUAACGAAGCCAACAACAAUUUCACUUGAACAUCUUUCU
RNA transcript from Drosophila gunungcola (fruit fly), 3310 nucleotides. It is a transcript of the gene named integrator complex subunit 5, with no coding region annotated. The record is from RefSeq and is a predicted model, not a curated record. NCBI's taxonomy places the organism in Eukaryota, Metazoa, Arthropoda, Insecta, Diptera, Drosophilidae. The transcript has 9 exons.